Molecule: unclassified non-coding RNA, 295 nt
Filed under: Hevea brasiliensis (rubber tree)
Lineage: Eukaryota; Viridiplantae; Streptophyta; Magnoliopsida; Malpighiales; Euphorbiaceae
Source: RNAcentral
GAAAAUUAUUUUUUUUCUUUAUUUUUUUUUUCCCUUUAUGCUUCUCUAUAUCUUUUGAUAAAUGAGAAGCAAGAUGACUCAAUUCUUUUGACUGGCGCAUUGCCUGGCCAGCUCCCUGAAGAGUCACAACAGCAUUGCAAAAGCUACUUACUGCCUCAGGCCCUGCAGGCUGUUACCCGUAAUUGGUGAAAUUACAGGGGAUUUUGAGGUUAAGGGGGAUUAGGAUUUGGGCUUGCAAAGGGGCAUGGGUUUGAUCAAUUGAGAUGGCAGGGGAGAGUGGGGCUUCGGCCUCCUA